RNAcentral lists this ribosomal RNA (253 nucleotides) under uncultured prokaryote. RNAcentral's name for it is "partial 16S ribosomal RNA". It matches the Rfam family "Bacterial small subunit ribosomal RNA", at positions 524 to 776 of the family's 1533-position model. The record is from RNAcentral.
UACGUAGGGGGCAAGCGUUAUCCGGAUUUACUGGGUGUAAAGGGAGCGUAGACGGUUUGGUAAGUCAGAUGUGAAAGCCCGGGGCUCAACCCCGGGACUGCAUUUGAAACUAUCAGGCUAGAGUGCAGGAGAGGUAAGUGGAAUUCCUAGUGUAGCGGUGAAAUGCGUAGAUAUUAGGAGGAACACCAGUGGCGAAGGCGGCUUACUGGACUGUAACUGACGUUGAGGCUCGAAAGCGUGGGGAGCAAACAGG